GCACAAGCGGUGGAGUAUGUGGUUUAAUUCGAUGCAACGCGAAGAACCUUACCUGGUCUUGACAUCCCGGAGACCCUUAGGAAACUAGGGGGUGCUUCCAUCUGGAAGAAUCUGGAGACAGGUGCUGCAUGGCUGUCGUCAGCUCGUGUCGUGAGAUGUUGGGUUAGGUCCCGCAACGAGCGCAACCCUUGCCUUUAGUUGCCAGCAGUUCGGCUGGGCACUCUAAAGGGACUGCCGGUGUUAAACCGGAGGAAGGUGGGGAUGACGUCAAGUCCUCAUGGCCUUUAUGACCAGGGCUACACACGUACUACAAUGGCCGAUACAAAGGGCAGCGACACUGCGAGGUGAAGCCAAUCCCGUAAAAUCGGUCUCAGUCCGGAUUGGAGUCUGCAACUCGACUCCAUGAAGUUGGAAUCGCUAGUAAUCGUGGAUCAGCAUGCCACGGUGAAUACGUUCCCGGGCCUU
This 465-nucleotide ribosomal RNA is filed under the name uncultured Desulfobulbus sp. Its description in RNAcentral is "bacterial SSU rRNA". It matches the Rfam family "Bacterial small subunit ribosomal RNA", at positions 923 to 1382 of the family's 1533-position model. The record is from RNAcentral. Lineage: Bacteria; Pseudomonadati; Thermodesulfobacteriota; Desulfobulbia; Desulfobulbales; Desulfobulbaceae.